Molecule: transfer RNA, 69 nt
Filed under: Actinobacteria bacterium SCGC AG-212-D09
Lineage: Bacteria; Bacillati; Actinomycetota
Description: tRNA-Ala
Source: RNAcentral
GAAGCACGAGCGGGCAACUCGAUCUGCUUGGCAAGCAGGAGGUCGCCGGUUCGAUCCCGGCUGGCUCUG